ACAAGUGGUAAGAAGCAAAUUCCCUGCUACCCCGCAGCAUGUGAAGGUAUCUUCCUCAGAGUUAAUGUCCAGGGCAAGAGUGAUUAAAAUGGUACGAAAUCAUUCGUGAUGCAGGCUAAUAGCAAAUUAAACCUUCUCUAUCAGGCCUAGCAAGCAACUAACCUUGUUUUUCAAGCCUGCCGGCAUUUAACACCCUAUAAAACUGUGUUAUUCUGGUCCAUAUAGGAUUUCCAUUUGUUGAGUGCAAGCAGUUGACUAGCAUGUCUCUGCACCUUCCUGAACAGCUACUACAUCUCUGGGAAUGCUUUGUGGGCCUGCCAGCUUCAGGAAAAUUCAGCAGCUGGAAGGGAAAAAUAUGAGACAUAUCUCACCCCUGAUAUUUAAACCCCUGGGUAUAUCUGAAAAAGGUCGUGACUCUGUUCACCAACAACACAUCUCCCAUUCAUUUGGAAGAGACUAAGCUUCAGUCCAUUAUCCUUCACCCAAUAACUCCUUAUUUUCCCUGAUAUUUCUCAUAGCACUGGCCAAAGAACAGGCAGUAAAAGAUUAAAGUUAGAAGCAAAAGCUAAAAGUUUCCUUUUCAAUUGGUGAACAGAGCUUCUUUCUUAAAGAUGUGUGUGUGUGUGUGUGUGUGUGUGUGUAUGUGUUUUCACAGAACACGUUGUAUUUUACCAUUUUGCUGAAGCCUGUGAUUCAGCAAUUCCAGCAUGUCAUAAAAAAGAAAUUGUGCUUUAAAAAAAAAAAUUAAAAAGAGUUCCAAAUUACAGACUCCUUCCUAGAUUUAGCAGAUUGAUUAGUUCAGUUAUGCUGUAUCUUACACUGAUUAAUGAAAAUCCAGCUCUUGCCUGGAGAGGUAGUAACCCCACCUGAUACCUGUCAGAUACUCCAUGUAAAAUUUCAGACAUGCUUUUCUUGCAUGGUCAUUGUCAUCCCAACCUAAUUUGGGUUCAAUGGAGUUUUGUUCUUGGACCAAAAUUCCACAAUCAUUUUUUUUGUUCUU
RNAcentral lists this long non-coding RNA (1000 nucleotides) under Parus major (Great Tit). Its description in RNAcentral is "lncRNA (ENSPMJG00000012726.1)". The record is from RNAcentral. Lineage: Eukaryota; Metazoa; Chordata; Aves; Passeriformes; Paridae.